GAUGAACGCUGGCGGCGUGCUUAACACAUGCAAGUCGAACGGUGAAGGCGGAGCUUGCUCUGCUGGAUCAGUGGCGAACGGGUGAGUAACACGUGAGCAAUCUGCCCCUGACUCUGGGAUAAGCGCUGGAAACGGCGUCUAAUACUGGAUACGAGCUGCGAAGGCAUCUUCAGCAGCUGGAAAGAACUUCGGUCGGGGAUGAGCUCGCGGCCUAUCAGCUUGUUGGUGAGGUAGCGGCUCACCAAGGCGUCGACGGGUAGCCGGCCUGAGAGGGUGACCGGCCACACUGGGACUGAGACACGGCCCAGACUCCUACGGGAGGCAGCAGUGGGGAAUAUUGCACAAUGGGCGAAAGCCUGAUGCAGCAACGCCGCGUGAGGGACGACGGCCUUCGGGUUGUAAACCUCUUUUGGCAGGGAAGAAGCGAGAGUGACGGUACUUGCAGAAAAAGCGCCGGCUAACUACGUG
This 468-nucleotide ribosomal RNA is filed under the name uncultured bacterium. RNAcentral's name for it is "partial 16S ribosomal RNA". It matches the Rfam family "Bacterial small subunit ribosomal RNA", at positions 28 to 507 of the family's 1533-position model. The record is from RNAcentral.